RNAcentral lists this ribosomal RNA (483 nucleotides) under uncultured bacterium. Its description in RNAcentral is "partial 16S ribosomal RNA". It matches the Rfam family "Bacterial small subunit ribosomal RNA", at positions 28 to 523 of the family's 1533-position model. The record is from RNAcentral.
GACGAACGCUGGCGGCGUGCUUAACACAUGCAAGUCGAACGAUGAAGCUGGAGCUUGCUCCGGUGGAUUAGUGGCGAACGGGUGAGUAUCACGUGAGCAAUCUGCCCUUCACUCUGGGAUAACUGCGGGAAACUGUAGCUAAUACCGGAUACGAGACCUUGGGGCCUCCCAGGGUCUGGAAAGAAUUUCGGUGAAGGAUGAGCUCGCGGCCUAUCAGCUAGUUGGUGAGGUAAUGGCUCAGAAAGGCGACGACGGGUAGCCGGCCUGAGAGGGUGACCGGCCACACUGGGACUGAGACACGGCCCAGACUCCUACGGGAGGCAGCAGUGGGGAAUAUUGCACAAUGGGCGAAAGCCUGAUGCAGCAACGCCGCGUGAGGGAUGAAGGCCUUCGGGUUGUAAACCUCUUUUAGUAGGGAAGAAGCGCAAGUGACGGUACCUACAGAAAAAGCACCGGCAAACUACGUGCCAGCAGCCGCCGCCG